UUUUUAAUUUUAUUUAUUAACAAUCUAGUUUUUCAUUCACUUUAAAUUGACCCUAAUUCGACUCCAUAGAACUCCAACAGGUUUUAACAGCCACGUUUUAUUUCUUAAUUUAAUUUUAUUCCGUUGUUUAACAUGGACAUCAUUAAACAUUUAGACUUUUUUUAAUUUUCAGAGAUAUUUUAUUGAAAAGUGAUUUGAUUGGCUUCCAUGCAGCAGCAGAGGGUGAGAUCCACUUCCUGUCUGAGCGUUCAGACGGAUGGUGACACGUUUGAGUCUGAAGAUACUAGGAUGGAUGAAUCCAGUCAAACUCUGAGUCUUCUCCAGAGACAGGAUAACAGUCAGAGCCGAGCGGAGUGAUGGCUCCAUCCAGGAAAGUGUGGGAACAGGUUGGAACAGGCAGGAAGAAGGUGUGAAAGCCGUAGGAGGCAGAGCUGAAGACGGUGAGGAUCUCUUUGGGAGUCACACAGAUGAAAUGAGAAGAUCAGAGCUGCUCCUCCUCUGCAGUGUGAAUGUUUUUCAACUAAAAUAGCAAUUUAAUGAAUUAAAAAGUUGUAAAAAUGUUUCUAAAUAAAGUUUAUUGAAAAUAAAGUACAUUUACAAAUAAAAAGUUGAGUAGAUUCAACGAGAUUCUUGAGCAGUGGGAUUUUUUUUUCCUAUUUUGUCUUCCUACAAAUUACUUGUUUUUCUUGCUGUUUUUCUUAUUUUAGACAUUUUUAUGAAGUAUACAGAUUGAGGGGCCCCAGGUCAUCAUCUACCUUUGCCGAGUGGUAAAUCCGCCCCAAUCCACCUGUAAGGUGGUAUUAGAUGAUCUCAAAUCCAGACCAAUCCAGAAGAGAAGGACGGAGGUGGCUGACCAAACACGGUGAAAACACUUACGUUAGAGAUGGAUGGAGAAGAUGAGCUCCAACAGAAGCUGCUGAAGGGAAGAGAAGAAGAAGACAUGAUGAGUCUUUGACCUCUUUUAGAGGUCAGGGCAAACAGACAGCCUUAAAAAGAGACCCGGCCGUUUGUCUUCAGGGUCCUAGAGGAAGCAGGAAACUUCUCCUGGAAACAACCUGGUUUCUGAGCUGAUUAUGUUCAAGAAAAACAUUUUUUGGUAUCAGCUGGUGCUUCAGGAAACAUUAUAAUAAUAAAAAUCUGCAGAUAACGA
Molecule: long non-coding RNA, 1150 nt
Organism: Oryzias melastigma (Indian medaka)
Lineage: Eukaryota; Metazoa; Chordata; Actinopteri; Beloniformes; Adrianichthyidae
Exons: 2
Source: RefSeq, a predicted model, not a curated record